UAAGGUCUUGCAAACGAUAACUUAUAAAGGAAACAACUCCACUUAUUCUAGGAAGGAAAUACCAGAAGAUAUGCAUAUCUGAUUCGAAUCAAACUAGGAGAUUACUCCCUUAUAUAGUCCUGCAAAUAAGGAGGGACUCGGGUUGCUCUCUUGGGCCUUCUUUCUCUAAGUCGGUAGAUACACCCGUAUCACUAAGAUUUGUUCCGGUGACGUUGGCCAUUAAGAAAAUCCUGGGAGUUGUGAUGAGCAAUUUUCUGAGCUUUUGGAAGUACCGGUCGAGUAUUUGAAAGCAGUUAAAUGGAGGUUGGUUGUUGAAUCAGAAGAAAAUAAAUUUGUGCAGGGCACGGAAAGAGAGUUUGAAUCCCGAGGGCCACAUCGAGCCGCUGUUCCAGACCAUCAGAAUGUUGAGCAACCAGUCCAGAGAGAGAUUCAAAAGAAUGUUCAAACAGAUGAUGGAGGCCGAUGGGACAGGACUCAUCCUGAUCGUAAGCACUUAUUACAUAUUUUAGUUUUUAUAUAUGCAAUGACAUGUUUUGAUCGUAAGCACUAAUUCAUGUUUUUAUAUUGCAGACGUCGAUUUAAACUUUGAGACCUGAAGAGGAUCUGUGGUCUGUGGACAACCUGUCAACCUACAUAUAAUCAAAUCCUUCUGAACAACAACAGUGAUAUGAUAUGGUAAUCAGAGUAUAAGACUAUACCUUCUCCUAAACCUAAGUAGUAGGUUGCUAUCUGUACAUCUUAGUGUCCAAAAUCUCGCAGAAAUGCAGUGUUAAAAUUAGAUCCAAGUAGAUACCCAUAACUCCCCUACGUGUAUGGUAGUGUCGAAUCCGGGUUGUGGAAGGAAAUUGUUGGGAAGUUGUGUUAGCAAGCAAUGAAAGAAUGUAGGUUUGUUGGGAAAUUGAUCGAUCUUGCACUUUUAUUUGAACCAUUUACUUCUGUUUGCGUUUAUCAAAUUUGAUUCUGGAUCACAGUUGCUCAUAGGCUUUCAACAAUAAUAAUCUCAGAUAUCAUUAUUGUCAUGGACAAAGGUGAGAUUGUGGAGAUGGGUUCCCACUCAAUCCUAGUAACAGCCUCUGAAGGAGUUUAACCCUAAACCGCGGAAGAGGCUGAACCCCACAUCCCCACCAUCGGACCUGGUGCCCCCAUCCCCAGCCAAGAAGUCGAGGCCGAACAGCCCGGAGAAAGAUGAUUCUCAGAUGUCAGAUGCUGUUUUAGCCGCAGUAAAAGAUGGUUCUGGGAUCUCAGAUGCUCUUUUAGCCGAACUAGGCUGCACUCGCGAAUAUCUAUUGCUCACUUCACGAGAACGGGCCGAGAUGACGAUUAAGGCCAUAUUGGCAAGGGAGGAGGCUCGUGGGGAAGUAACUGUAAGGUCAGGCUCACCACCACCCUAUCGUCCAGAAACUUUACCUAUGAAGGUAUAAGGAUAGUUGGUAAUCCUUUUAUCCUGUUUUUCACAGAGGUUAGCAGCUUCGCUUGCUAUCCUAUUACUAAGUUUUUUGCUGUCCUGAGUUUCAAAGUCUGUUAUAUUAGUUUAAUAGGUAUUUUUUAAAUUCAAAUGGACAACUGAGUUUGUGGGAAGUGCCUUGGUGCUCAAACCAGUCUAAGGGUUGAGAUCUUUUGUUAUGCCAACCCGUGACCAAAUGGUUUGAUGCUCAAGGCUCCAGCUUAGAUUUUAUGAUACAUUAUCCAAUACAAAGCUGGUCCCUGUGUGAUUCAAAGACCAGUCGCUAUUGGCUGUGUCAAGGUCUACUAAUGGACUGAGUAAGAGGGUUUGAAACCUCUUUGCUCCCUGUUUUGAAUCGUUCAUGUUUUAGGAAAGGGUUCUUUGUCUUAUUGAGAUUGCUUGUGUCAUCUUUGUGUUUGGACACAUCCCUUUCAGUAUGGGAGCCAAACACUUAUGUCUAAACCUUUCUGAAACAUGUUGAGGUCAGCUUGGAUCAACUUUGAUGCCUUGUCUGCCUAUAUAUAUCUAUAGCUUUGGCUUUGCUCAAUGGUUGUUGAAAACUGCCUUAUUGCGUUUUAUUUGUUGAGUCUAGUUUUAGCUUGCAUUGUUUAUGUUGUUCUAAGUCUUCUUUAUGACUGUAAACUUUAGAGCUUGAACUCAAAACUUCUUUCAUCAACUCAUAUCAUGUUGCAUACCAUGAGGGAUGUGUAGUGCAACCAACCCAAGAAGCAUUCAAGGUUGAAUCAGCUAGUGGUUAGUUGAAUUCACGAACAAGGCUUCUGAAAGUGUUCCAUGUUGUAAGAGCUUAGAAACAAGAGAGGGAAUAGGUCUAGACUAGUUCGGGACUAGGAAGGAUAACAUUGUGGUAGUGUAUCACUAGAACUAUUAUUCUUGUAAGAAGUUACUUCAACUUAGUGGAAAUUUUUGUCUCUCAAGAAUUAGAGAUACACAGUUUUUCUCUCUGCAUUCAGGGUUUCUGCGAGUAAAAUUCAUCCUUGUGUUGUUUCUUUAUUUGCUGCAAUUUACUUUUUGCAAACUCGUAUCCUGUGAAUCUGAGAUAGCACAAGUGAUUGCUAUCCUCAGAUACAGAAGUAAACGAAAAUUCGAAAAAAGGCCUAUUCAUCCCCCCCCUAGGGCCUUUAACCUAAGAGAUAUGCAUGGGGUUCUUACAUCGGUUGGAGUGGAAAGAAAGAUUUUGCUUAUCUGAUGACUUGCGGUAAUUGUGGCCAGGAUGGUCUUCACAAGACUCUUGACUGCCCAGAUAAGGAUACUGAAGAGGCCAAGGAGUUCAGGAGGCUGAGCACUUCCAGACUCAGAGGCCUCUAGCUCUUCUAAUCAUGAGACAAAGCCCGAGAACAAGUAAUGUACUGUGUGUAUGAGUCAUGUUUUAACGUUGUAAUCUACUUAUUUCCCUAUAUUUAUGAAUACCGUAUGUGAUGUUAUCUAUCCUAUGAUCGACCAAAGUUGAACUUCUGGAUAUUGGCAACUUAUUAGUUACAGUCUUGUGCUUGUGAACUAGGCUAAAAACCUAUGUUUUUUUUUUAAACUCGUGAGAGCAUUCUGGAUCCAUCUAAUGUAAUAUGUGUUGUGACAUGUAUUAUAUUACCUUCUUAAGUGAAAAAAAAAAAAAAAUAAUUGAUCAAGACGGUAGAUAGUGCUUUGUUUCGUGAACUCUAGAGGACCCUGUUUAACAUUAAGACUAAUGUCAGUGGCUAUGCUGUUGUUAGAUUUGAAAUCAGUGCAUAGUAAAAGAGAAUAACUAUGAUGGCGGUUCUUCUCUUGUAUACUGAAUUUGAAACUGAGAACAAGUUUAUUCUGGUACAUACUCAGGGUGAUUCUUGUUGGUUUUACUGGGACCUAUGGUGAUUGAUUGGAAAUGACAACGGUUUAUCGAGGAACCGAGACCUCUAAUAACACAAGGUUAUUAAAUAGAAUUCUUGAUGAUCUUUAUUGAAUGAAUUCCCUCAUCUUAAAUAGAUGGGUGUACAACUGACUUUCCAAAUAACAAGGACACUGCCCACCUAAACUACCACUAAGGAUAAGGCUAAUCCCAUUAUCCUUGUACUUAGGAAACAACAAAACAAACUCAACGUUAACUAAGAACAAUAAACAUUGACCAGUUCAUAACAUAUUCAUUUAUCAGUAUAUAGGAAAUUAUUUUGCAACUUCCAUACUAUUACAUCAAGUAUAUACGCCGGCCUAAGGCUGUUCUAAGUUCCCUUGGUAUGAAAUAUGUUACUCUUCUGUCAUGCUUUGUAUCUGAUAUAAUCUUGAAUAAACUCCCUGAGAGGCUGUUAUAAGGGUUGAGUGGGAACCCGACUCGACAAUCUCACCUUUGUCCAUGACAAUGAUGAUAUCUGAGUUUAUUUAUUAUUGUAGCCUAUGUGCAACUGUAAUCUGUUUGGUUUUGGACAGCAGGCCUCCUUUGUUUUUCAAAUUUAUCGCUUCCAAUGCGCUCACCACAGAUUUUUCGGAUUCAGCAUCAAGGGCACUUGCUGCUUCAUCCAGAAGCAAGAUUGCAGGCCUCUUUAGCAAUGUUCUAGCUAUGGCUAUUCUUUGCUUUUGUCCUCCUGAAAGUUGGCAUCCCUUCUCCCCAACAAGUGUUUGAUAUCCAUCAGGAAAUUACUUAUGAACUCAUCAAUGUUUGCUUCCCUUGAUACCUCUACAAUCUCAGUUUCAGAAGCACUUUCAUUCCCAUAGCAGAUAUUCUCUGAUUGAGGAGCUAAAAAGUAGAGGCUCUUAUUGCACCAACCCUAUUUGUGUUGUCAGCCAUCUCAAGUUGUACUCCCUUAUCUCCUUUCCAUCAAUGAGUAUCUUACCUUUCAAGGGAUCAUAAAAUCUUAGCAGCAGGGCCAGAACUGAAGAUUUACCAGCUCCACUUGGACCGACAAGAGCCACCUUUGUUCCAGCUUUAAUUUGGACAGUGAAGUUGUUCAGGAUAGUUACUCCUGGUCUCAAAGGGUAAUUAAACUCAACAUUUUGAAAUUCAAUAUUCCCUUUGAUUCUCUCCUGAUUUGAAGUUUCCGGUGUACAUGGAUCUAUUUCAGUUUUGCGGUCAAGGGUCUCGAAUGCAGGAGUAAGCACAUUGAUGGCAGAAAUGACGGUGGGAAUCAAUGUCCACAAUUCUGUGACUGAAGGUACUGUGAGAGAGAAAAUCUGGUAUGAUCUUAUGCCAUUUUUGAAGCUCGAUUGAUUCUUGUGAACUAAAACUGUUGUGUACCACAAUGCCACAGCAUGUGCAAUGUUCCAUAAGCAAAGAGAAACUCCCUGGAUUAUGCCAAACUUAAUACUUUGUCUCAUGCUCCUUUUCUUGGGGGUUUCUAGAGAUAUUUCGGCCUUUUUGAGUAUAUGAUCUUCAUGGAAAAACUGUUGGGGUAUCUCUGUAACUCACCUCCUCUGAUCCAAGCUUGCUGCACUCUUAUACAACUGCUCUUCACACUUCAAUCAGGUACGUUGCCUUGAUCUUGAUCUCCUGCACUCAAUCACACACACACCGCUAUAUAUUUGAUACAGAGAUGAUAGUAGAAUCAAAUAGAUACAAAGAGAAUUGAUGAAAUGGGCUGGAGCUGUUACUCUCAGUCCUCUUCUUUCAUAUAUUUUUCUGAUGUUGUUUUUUUGUAAUGCAAAGAUAGCAGAUCUGAUACUGUUAUAUCAGUUCACUGUAUAUGUCUUCUUAGACACACUACCUUGUGCACAAAAGUCAAAGAUUAACUAAAGUUUAUUUUAACUAGAGUUAACCAAACUAGCAUAAGGUUAAGAAAGUAACUAAGCAUUAACUUUAACAAAAACGAUGCAACGGUUCUUAUGUUUUGUGCAGACUCAGAAAAGCAAGAGAAACAAGUUCAUUAUGUGCAGCAGCUGAGUCUCCUGCAAAACCCUUUGCAGACUUGGCUUGAAUGAGACCACCAAUGAAGUGGCAAGGCAUCACAGCCCAAGCUACCAACCCCAUUCUCCAGUUGACAUACAUGCUCACAACGGUUGCAAUCAGUAUGGAGGAAAUGCACUGGACAAGGACAGACAUCCGGUCAGCAAUUACCACUUUGACCAUUGAAGUAUCAUUGAUGAUCGUUGAGGUGAGCUGUCCAAUGCCAUUCUCAGGUUAGUGAUUAUGUGAAAUUGAAUUGCAGGCAUGCGAAUAGUCACUUUGAGGUUGAAGAUGAGCAACUGGCUUUGGACUUGGAGUUUGCCCAGCAACUUGCUUUUGCACCUUAUUCUCCACCAUCCAUGCAUGGUACUUGUUAGUUUUGCUUUCUAAUUUAGUUUUCUUCUGUAUUGCUUGAUGUGUUCAUAGCUUAAGAAAAGAGUGAUGUGGUAAAGUUUUAUGCUUGUGGUGAUUAUUUGAAUUUUUGUGUUGAUAGAUUAGAUUCUCAUAUGUUAAUACACAAGUAUGAAUUGGGUCUUAGAAUGAUUGUAUUUGAUGUUUUGGGUUUUGUUUUUAAUGAGAAAGGAUGGAUUUUUCGUAGAUUUUGCGGAGGAACUUACAUGUUAAUCUUAUGUUGUUCUUUGAUAAUGGAGAUUGAAGUUUAGUCCAGUAACUUUGUAGUUUCAUAUGUAUAUAUGUGCAGAAUAAUCAAACAACUAGAGAGUUGCCAUUUGCGAGAUGUGAUGGACAAUGUAGCAUGGAGGAAAGUGUCUCCUGCCUGGUUGCUUUACAGACUAGGACCACUUUCCAUGAGAUUGAAGGUGGCGUGAUGGCACUGCUGAGAGAGUGUUUGGAGUUGGAACCUAGAAAUACGACUACUAUUUUGUGUGGUUAUACUGAUCAUGUUCAGAGCAUUCGAUCCAAGGAUUCUGGGUGGGGUUGUGGGUGGCGUAACAUUCAAAUGCUUAGCUCACAUUUGCUUAUGCAAAGGCAAGAGACUCGAGAUGUUUUGUUUGGUGGUGCAGGAUUUGUUCCUGAUAUCCCAUCACUCCAAACUUGAGAUUGCUUGGGAAAAGGGAUUUGAUGCAGCUGGGUCUGAUCAGUUUGCUAACAAAAUUUAUGGCUUGAGAAGAUGGAUUGGAACAACUGAAUGUGCUGCCCUUUUCCUUUCUUUUGGGCUGCGAGCAAGGAUAGUGGAUUUUGGUCCCAAGGAACUCGAACCAUAUUAUCUCUCUCUUCCUGGGUUCAAGGUCUUGGGGAAGAGGUCAAGAGAAUACAUAAUGGUGGAAAGAGGAAAGCAAUUCAGGUUUGUGGACCAAUGGAUAGAUAUUUGCCGGAAAGGAGUCAUGAUAUUAACCAAGCGAGUCCCAGUUGCCAUGAAAAGUCGAGUUGUUCUACUAGCCAGAAAGGUGACUCUUGGUGUAGGAAAAGUCAUUAUAAUUCCGGAAAUAAAUUUUUCAGGAAAAGCAAGGGUCAUCAGGUUCUCAUGGAUUGGAUCUGGAAUUACUUUAAUGAUGGUAACGUUACCAGAACCGGCAACCACCGGGUGAUUGUUAGUGACAAAACGUAAGUUUCUCUAUCCCACGAAUUUAUUGUUUGAACAUCAAAUGACAUUUAAAGGAUCACCUUUUAUGUUGUGUCCUAAUUCAUAGAGGUUCUUUGAGCAGACCCUUGUACUUCCAACAUGAUGGGCAUUCGAGAACCAUUGUUGGGAUUCAAGUCAAAAAUCAACAAAACGGGAUGCAGCAACACACUCUUAAUUUUGGACCCUGGUCAUGUAAUUCUCUGUCCUUUAUGAAAUCUGUGUGGCAUCUUACCUUUAGCAUUUAUGUUUUAAAUUUGAUUACUAAACAUCUUAAUCCCUUUCGACUUGUCUGCAACAUGAUUACAGAGAACAGCAGAGAUGGAAAGAUCACUCAAGGAAAAGAGAGGAUGGCAGAAGUUUGCUAUUGGAACAUAACAGUUUGCUUUGGUUGUAUUGUUUUUUUAGGAUCGGGACUGAUGCAAUGAUUUUGUUUCAGCUGUGUUAUAUUGAUCCUGGCAUUGCAAGUGGAGAUGAAGUGGAGUUGCUCAAGACUGUAGAUAGUGUUUUUCUUGAGCUCUAAAGGACCCUGUUCAACAUUAUGACUUCUAAGUGGCUAUGCUACUGUUUCAAAUGCAUAGUAAAAGAGAAUUUGGAUAUCUGAAGAAUGAAAGUUCACUGUUCUAAGGCUUCUUGCCCUCCCUUAAGGAGAAUGUUUAGAGAAGCUCGUGCAGAAGAUUGUGCGCUCUUCUUGACCAAUGAUCUUGACUGCUGAGGGUUAAACCAGUGGAAAUGCUUCACUGAAUCACUGAUCAAGGAUUUUGUAUGUGCAAGAGGAACAGAAAGUUGGGGAAUCACUCCUAUUCUAUUCUUCAACUUCUAUGAAGCUAUGAUCUUCUGUCAGCUCUUUAAUCCGGGGUGUCUUGGUUAAAUUAUGUGAGCUACCAUAAUUUACUUUGAUGCGAGUUUAUUCUCUUGCAUACUGUCUUUGUAACUGUGAACAACUUUGCUCAUUUAUCAAUAUAUCGAAAAUGCAUUGCUACUUCGUUCUUCUACCCAACAGUUUAUGCUGUCAUUAACCUUGUGCCACCUCUAUUUUGGUGACAAACUACUACCAUACUAAUACAUUCAAAACCCUUGGAGACAUAUGCCUGAGGCUGUUUAAAGUUCCCUUGCUGUUUGCACACUUCAAAGAUAACAGUAUGCGAUAUGUUACUUUUCUGUCAUGCUCUGUAUAUGAUAUAAUCUUGAAUAAACUCCCUCAGAGGCUGUUACUAGGAUUGUUGAAAGCCUAUGAGCAACUGUGAUCCAGAAUCAAAUUUGAUAAACGCAAACAAAAGUAAAUGGUUCAUCAUCGAAAUAAAAACACUCAUCAUCGAAAAAAAGAGUAAAUGGUUCAAAUAAAAGUGCAAGAUCGAUCAAUUUCCCAACAAACCUACAUUCUUUCAUUGCUUGCUAACACAACUUCCCAACAACUUGCUAGGAGGAAUAAGAAAAUAAAGUCAAAGCAUAAUCAAACAUUUGACUCUGCAAAUUAAGCAUUAGCUUUGUUCCUACAUAUUUCAUUUCAACAUUAGGAUAUUUUACUUUUUAUGUUUUCAUUAGGAUUUGUUUUAUUUAGAAUAAAGGAUUUCUAGUCCUAAUCAGGAUUUAGUUCCUAGUUAUAGUAUGAAUAGGUUUAUUUCUAUGCCUAUAUAAGGCACUUGCUAGAUUGUAUUUUCAUAUCAAUAAGAAAAUAUUAGGGUUACGCUUACGUAUCAUAAAGCCAGCCAUGAGCCUAAGCCCCAAAUCCUCGCCACCGGAACUGACACCCACAUCCUCAAGACCAUCCCCAGCCAAGAAGUCAAGGCCGAACAGCCCGGAGAAAGAUGAUUCUCAGAUGUCAGAUGCUGUUUUAGCCGCAGUGAAAGAUGAUUCUUGGAUCUCAGAUGCUCUUUUAGCCGAACUAGGCUGCACUCGCGAAUAUCUAUUGCUCACUUCAGAAGAACGGGACGAGAUGACGAUUAAGGCCAUGUUGGCAAGGGAGGAGGCUCGUGGGGAAGUAGUAAGGUCAGGCUUACCACCACCAUAUCGUCCAGAAACUUUACCUAAGGGAUAUGCAUGGGGUUCUUACAUCGCUUGGAGUGGAGAGAAAGAUUUUGCUUAUCUGAUGACUUGCGGUAACUGUGGCAAGGAUGGUUGUCACAUGACUCUUGACUGCCCAGAUGGGGAUACUGAAGAGGCUAAGGAGUUUAGGAGGCUGAUCGCUUCCAGCCUCAGAGGCCUCUAGCUCUUCUAAUCAUGAGAAAAGCCCGAGAACAAGUAAUGUGCUGUGUGUAUGAGUCGUGUUUUAACCGUCUAAUCUACUUGUUAUCUAUCCUAUGAUCGACCCAAGUCUUCUGGAUAUUGGGAACUUAGUAGUAUUGUGCUUGUGAACUAGGCUAAAAACCUAUGGUUGUUUCUAAGUCGUGGAAGUAUUAUGGCUCCAUCUAAUGUAAUAUGUGUUGUGGUAUGCAUUGUAUUACCUUGUUUAGUGAACUAGCUCUUUGAUCGACUCUUGGUGGAGUGUUUGAAAUUGCCAUAUUUUCUAUAGAAACCAGGCUCUGGCACCAAACAGAAACCGGGCUCUGGCACCAAACUGAUGGGAGAUUGUUUCGAACACAGGCCUCCGACACUACCUCUUUCCAGAAACAAGAAGAUCAAGAACAAACAAAUACUUGCAGCUAAAGUUACGUUUAUUUCAUAUCAUUCGAUAUCAUUCGAUGAAUAAUAAGGUCUUACAAACAAUAACUUAUAAAGGAAACAACUCCACUUAUUCUAGGAAGGAAAUACUAGAAGAUAUGCAUAUCUGAUUCGAAUCAAACUAGGAGAUUACUCCCUAAUAUAGUCCUGCAAAUAAGGAGGAGCUCGGGUUGCUCUCUUGGGCCUUGCUUUCUCUAAGUCGGGAGAUACACCCGUAUCAAUAAGAUUAGUUCCGGUGACGUUGGCCAUCAAGAAAAUCCUGGGAGUUGUGAUGAGCAAUUUUCUGAGCUUUUGGAAGUACCGGUCGAGUAUUUGAAAGCAGUUAAAUGGAGGUUGGUUGUUGAAUCAGAAGGAAAUAGUUUGAAAGCAGUUAAAUGGAGGUUGGUAUACGAAAUUUCAAACGACAAUAUGAGGAAGACAUUGC
Molecule: long non-coding RNA, 9973 nt
Filed under: Fragaria vesca (wild strawberry)
Lineage: Eukaryota; Viridiplantae; Streptophyta; Magnoliopsida; Rosales; Rosaceae
Description: long non-coding RNA (FVES_LNC003872)
Source: RNAcentral